AAAUUGAAGAGUUUGAUCAUGGCUCAGAUUGAACGCUGGCGGCAGGCCUAACACAUGCAAGUCGAACGGUAACAGGAAGCAGCUUGCUGCUUCGCUGACGAGUGGCGGACGGGUGAGUAAUGUCUGGGAAACUGCCUGAUGGAGGGGGAUAACUACUGGAAACGGUGGCUAAUACCGCAUAACGUCGCAAGACCAAAGAGGGGGACCUUCGGGCCUCUUGCCAUCAGAUGUGCCCAGAUGGGAUUAGCUAGUUGGUGAGGUAACGGCUCACCAAGGCGACGAUCCCUAGCUGGUCUGAGAGGAUGACCAGCCACACUGGAACUGAGACACGGUCCAGACUCCUACGGGAGGCAGCAGUGGGGAAUAUUGCACAAUGGGCGCAAGCCUGAUGCAGCCAUGCCGCGUGUAUGAAGAAGGCCUUAGGGUUGUAAAGUACUUUCAGCGGGGAGGAAGGUGUUGUGGUUAAUAACCGCAGCAAUUGACGUUACCCGCAGAAGAAGCACCGGCUA
RNAcentral lists this ribosomal RNA (509 nucleotides) under Salmonella enterica. Its description in RNAcentral is "bacterial SSU rRNA". It matches the Rfam family "Bacterial small subunit ribosomal RNA", at positions 1 to 499 of the family's 1533-position model. The record is from RNAcentral. Lineage: Bacteria; Pseudomonadati; Pseudomonadota; Gammaproteobacteria; Enterobacterales; Enterobacteriaceae.